This 484-nucleotide ribosomal RNA is filed under the name uncultured bacterium. RNAcentral describes it as "partial 16S ribosomal RNA". It matches the Rfam family "Bacterial small subunit ribosomal RNA", at positions 28 to 523 of the family's 1533-position model. The record is from RNAcentral.
GACGAACGCUGGCGGCGUGCUUAACACAUGCAAGUCGAACGAUGAAGCUAGAGCUUGCUCUGGUGGAUUAGUGGCGAACGGGUGAGUAACACGUGAGUAACCUGCCCCGAACUCUGGGAUAACUGCUGGAAACGGUAGCUAAUACUGGAUACGACCUACGAAGGCAUCUUCUGUAGGUGGAAAGAAUUUCGGUUCGGGAUGGACUCGCGGUGUAUCAGCUUGUUGGUGAGGUGAUGGUUCACCAAGGCGACGACGGGUAGCCGGGCUGAGAGGGUGACCGGCCACACUGUGACUGAGACACGGCCCAGACUCCUACGGGAGGCAGCAGUGGGGAAUAUUGCACAAUGGGCGCAAGCCUGAUGCAGCAACGCCGCGUGAGGGAUGACGGCCUUCGGGUUGUAAUCCUCUUUUAGUAGGGAAGAAGCGAAAGUGACGGUACCUGCAGAAAAAGCACCGGCUAACUACGUGCCAGCAGCCGCCGUAA